AGCGAACGUUAGCGGCGGGCCUAACACAUGCAAGUCGAACGCGAAAGGUCUUCGGACUGAGUAGAGUGGCGCACGGGUGAGUAACACGUAGGUAAUCUACCCUUUGGCGGGGGAUAACGUUCCGAAAGGAGCGCUAAUACCGCAUAAGACCACGGAGUCUCCGGACGCUGUGGGAAAAGGUGGCCUCUUCUUGAAAGCUACCACCGAAGGAUGAGCCUGCGUCCCAUCAGCUAGUUGGUAAGGUAAUGGCUUACCAAGGCGAAGACGGGUAGCUGGUUUGAGAGAAUGAUCAGCCACACUGGCACUGGAACACGGGCCAGACUCCUACGGGAGGCAGCAGUGAGGAAUAUUGGGCAAUGGGCGAAAGCCUGACCCAGCCACGCCGCGUGAGUGAUGAAGGCCCUCGGGUCGUAAAGCUCUGUGGAGAGGGACGAAAACCCUGGUUUCAAAUAGGCUCCAGGCUUGACGGUACCUCUUUAGCAAGCACCGGCUAACUCUGUGCCAGCAGCCGACGG
This 515-nucleotide ribosomal RNA is filed under the name uncultured bacterium. RNAcentral's name for it is "bacterial SSU rRNA". It matches the Rfam family "Bacterial small subunit ribosomal RNA", at positions 29 to 520 of the family's 1533-position model. The record is from RNAcentral.